This 126-nucleotide small nucleolar RNA is filed under the name Apaloderma vittatum (bar-tailed trogon). RNAcentral describes it as "Small nucleolar RNA ACA64". It matches the Rfam family "Small nucleolar RNA ACA64". Lineage: Eukaryota; Metazoa; Chordata; Aves; Trogoniformes; Trogonidae. The record is from Rfam by way of RNAcentral.
GCGGUCUGAAAAUCACUUGGGAGUCUCUUGUGGCCCCUGGUGAGAUAACUGCGCCCACAGCAUAGGGAACACGAAGCUUAUUGCCCGCUGUGAAGUGUGGGGAGUAAAACCCAUGUUCCUACAGCC